UAAUCAAACACACCUGAAGCAGCUAAUCAAGGUCUUAGGUAUACUAGAAACUUCCAGGCAGGUGUGUUGAGGUAAAUUGGAGCUAAACUCUGCAGGACACCGGCCCUCCAGGAUCAAGUUUGGUAACCCCUGCUUUAUGCAAUAUGAAUUUUUCGGACAGGGUGGACCCAUGAUUGCUGGCUGUGUGGGAGGACAUUGUUUUAGUAUGAGGUGCAGCAUCUACUGCAGUGCAACAGUCACAUUAAAACAGUUACCACCACCUCAACCCAUCCUACUCUUCACAUCUGCUCAACAUCAAUGUAGAUCAGCUCCAACCUGCUGGGUGAAGUAGGUCCGAAGCUCCUGUGUUUCCUUCUGCCAGAAGGGUUUGGGCAGGUUAAAGAGGGCACCCAUAUCGAUAUUCCCACCCAGGCCUUCUGUGUUUAUGGCACCGUUUUGU
This is a long non-coding RNA of Onychostoma macrolepis, 439 nucleotides long. RefSeq lists it as uncharacterized. The transcript has 4 exons. The record is from RefSeq and is a predicted model, not a curated record. Lineage: Eukaryota; Metazoa; Chordata; Actinopteri; Cypriniformes; Cyprinidae.